Molecule: ribosomal RNA, 726 nt
Filed under: uncultured Vibrio sp.
Lineage: Bacteria; Pseudomonadati; Pseudomonadota; Gammaproteobacteria; Vibrionales; Vibrionaceae
Description: bacterial SSU rRNA
Rfam family: Bacterial small subunit ribosomal RNA
Source: RNAcentral
AUUGAACGCUGGCGGCAGGCCUAACACAUGCAAGUCGAGCGGAAACGACACUAACAAUCCUUCGGGUGCGUUAAUGGGCGUCGGGCGGCGGACGGGUGAGUAAUGCCUAGGAAAUUGCCUUGAUGUGGGGGAUAACCAUUGGAAACGAUGGCUAAUACCGCAUGAUGCCUACGGGCCAAAGAGGGGGACCUUCGGGCCUCUCGCGUCAAGAUAUGCCUAGGUGGGAUUAGCUAGUUGGUGAGGUAAUGGCUCACCAAGGCGACGAUCCCUAGCUGGUCUGAGAGGAUGAUCAGCCACACUGGAACUGAGACACGGUCCAGACUCCUACGGGAGGCAGCAGUGGGGAAUAUUGCACAAUGGGCGAAAGCCUGAUGCAGCCAUGCCGCGUGUAUGAAGAAGGCCUUCGGGUUGUAAAGUACUUUCAGUUGUGAGGAAGGGGGUAACGUUAAUAGCGUUAUCUCUUGACGUUAGCAACAGAAGAAGCACCGGCUAACUCCGUGCCAGCAGCCGCGGUAAUACGGAGGGUGCGAGCGUUAAUCGGAAUUACUGGGCGUAAAGCGCAUGCAGGUGGUUCAUUAAGUCAGAUGUGAAAGCCCGGGGCUCAACCUCGGAACUGCAUUUGAAACUGGUGAACUAGAGUGCUGUAGAGGGGGGUAGAAUUUCAGGUGUAGCGGUGAGAUGCGUAGAGAUCUGAAGGAAUACCAGUGGCGAAGGCGGCCCCCUGGA